RNAcentral lists this transfer RNA (73 nucleotides) under Ictidomys tridecemlineatus (thirteen-lined ground squirrel). Its description in RNAcentral is "Spermophilus tridecemlineatus (thirteen-lined ground squirrel) tRNA". It matches the Rfam family "tRNA". Rfam says of the family: Transfer RNA (tRNA) molecules are approximately 80 nucleotides in length. Lineage: Eukaryota; Metazoa; Chordata; Mammalia; Rodentia; Sciuridae. The record is from Rfam by way of RNAcentral.
UGGGAUAUAGCUCAGUUGGUAGAGUGCUUGCCUAGCAUGCAUAAGGCCCUGGGUUCAAUCCCUAGUAUCACAA